CCUACGGGAGGCAGCAGUGGGGAAUUUUGGACAAUGGGGGAAACCCUGAUCCAGCAAUGCCGCGUGAGUGAAGAAGGCCUUCGGGUUGUAAAGCUCUUUUGUCAGGGAAGAAACACCGGCUCUAACACAGUCCGGGAAUGACGGUACCUGAAGAAUAAGCACCGGCUAACUACGUGCCAGCAGCCGCGGUAAUACGUAGGGUGCGAGCGUUAAUCGGAAUUACUGGGCGUAAAACGUGCGCAGGCGGUUAUACAAGACAGGCGUGAAAUCCCCGGGCUUAACCUGGGAAUGGCGCCUGUGACUGUAUAGCUAGAGUGUGUCAGAGGGGGGUAGAAUUCCACGUGUAGCAGUGAAAUGCGUAGAUAUGUGGAGGAAUACCAAUGGCGAAGGCAGCCCCCUGGGAUAACACUGACGCUCAUGCACGAAAGCGUGGGGAGCAAACAGGAUUAGAUACCCUGGUAGUCCACGCCCUAAACGAUGCUGACUAGUUGUUCGGGAUUUACAUCCUGAGUAACGUAGCUAACGCGUGAAGUCAGCCGCCUGGGGAGUACGGUCGCAAGAUUAAAACUCAAAGGAAUUGACGGCCCUACGGGAGGCAGCAAACUCAAAUGAAUUGACGG
Molecule: ribosomal RNA, 620 nt
Filed under: uncultured bacterium
Lineage: Bacteria
Description: bacterial SSU rRNA
Rfam family: Bacterial small subunit ribosomal RNA
Source: RNAcentral